AAACAUAGUACCUUGUAAUGACAUGCAGGAACUGUGGAGUGAGGACUGCCUGCUCUGACUUCUCUGAAUAUUGGUCUUUUGUGGCUUGAGCUAGUGAACUCCUAAAAUUAGCAUUCAUGCCUUCCAGUUUUAAUUAAGGCCCUUCAGAAAGUUCCACUGGCUUCUGACAUAUGAUGAACUCAUCUAAUUCAAGCUGUAAAGGAUGCGUUGAAGGACUUUCAUCUUUCACACCUGAGCAAUGAAAAUGUUAACUGUUCAAACCAUUCCAUGCAGCAAUAAGAAAAUGGUACAGUUUCCAUUUCUAAAGGACAAUCCUUUUAAGUUUCUUCAGUUAUAAAGAAAGGACCUUCCUAAGGUUUGUUGGUGUUGAUCUGAUACAUAAACAUUUGGAAAAGUGGGAAUUGAUAACUGAUUACAUAUGGAUUGAUAUCUUGUAAUACACAGGAAUGAAACAUCCUGAGUACAUCUGUUUCUGGGAUUUCUAGAAUUCUAAGGCAAAUCCUCAAAUAAGAUAAAGGACUGAAAAACGAGAAUUUGCUUGAUUAUGGCAGGUUCUGAGCCUAACAGUUACAAAUGUACACACGCAUCACAACAGAAACAUUCUUAAUUGUGUAAGCCAGUUACUUAGGCAAUGACACGGAUAGAAUAACUUUUUAGAAUACAGCACACUGAACUACUACCCCUUUAAAUUGGCCCACCCUAAACAGGGGACCUAAUUCUGUGCCUGCAGAGGCUGUACUAUUCUCUAAGUGUGCAGCAUGAUGGCAUAAUUGUUUGAAAUGUUACCUCCACCUGCAGGCUGGUACAACUAUUCAUGCUCUAGAACAUUCAGCUGAUAGUCAGUGCUAGCACAAUCUGGAAAUAUUUUCUGAAGGUCAAAGACCUUGUUCGAGACUACCUUCAGAACAACAGGAAUAAAUUAGCAGAUUCUUGGAGGUUAAAAAAAAAAAUUAUUUCAGCACCUACCUCCA
Molecule: non-coding RNA, 971 nt
Organism: Sturnus vulgaris (Common starling)
Lineage: Eukaryota; Metazoa; Chordata; Aves; Passeriformes; Sturnidae
Source: RefSeq, a predicted model, not a curated record